This 468-nucleotide ribosomal RNA is filed under the name uncultured bacterium. RNAcentral's name for it is "partial 16S ribosomal RNA". It matches the Rfam family "Bacterial small subunit ribosomal RNA", at positions 28 to 507 of the family's 1533-position model. The record is from RNAcentral.
GACGAACGCUGGCGGCGUGCUUAACACAUGCAAGUCGAACGGAAAGGCCCUGCUUUUGUGGGGUGCUCGAGUGGCGAACGGGUGAGUAACACGUGAGUAACCUGCCCUUGACUUUGGGAUAACUUCAGGUAACUGGGGCUACUACCGGAUAGGAGCUCCUGCUGCAUGGUGGGGGUUGGAAAGUUUCGGCGGUUGGGGAUGGACUCGCGGCUUAUCAGCUUGUUGGUGGGGUAGUGGCUUACCAAGGCUUUGACGGGUAGCCGGCCUGAGAGGGUGACCGGCGACAUGGGGACUGAGGUACGGCCCAGACUCCUACGGGAGGCAGCAGGGGGGAAUAUUGCACAAUGGGCGGAAGCCUGAUGCAGCAACGCCGCGUUCGGGAUGACGGCCUUCGGGUUGAAAACCGCUUUCGCCUGUGACGAAGCGGGAGUGACGGUAAUGGGUAAAGAAGCACCGGCUAACUACGUG